RNAcentral lists this long non-coding RNA (1303 nucleotides) under Ursus maritimus (polar bear). RNAcentral's name for it is "lncRNA (ENSUMAG00000020269.1)". The record is from RNAcentral. Lineage: Eukaryota; Metazoa; Chordata; Mammalia; Carnivora; Ursidae.
GGAAAUCUAGAGCAACAUUACAGAUUGGCUAUGGCCUAAGUGGCGAUUAUUUAGCGUUGCUUUUGAGAGGAAACAGGAAGAAACCAAACCAGAGAAAUGGAGACAAUUGGCUUGAGCUGAGGGCUUCAUGGACAUUGUUUUAAAUGCUAGAAAGAAAAUCAGAGUCCUAUCCAUAAGGUGGCAUCUCUAUGAUGUCCCGGUUAAGCAAGGAAAGCCGACAGCUUCUGGGGAGAGAAAUCAGUGACUCAUGGGUGAGCAAGAUGGCGGAUUGACUCAUACUUGGUUGCUAAGGCUGCAGGGUCUGCUGAGGGGCUGACACUACUAGGCAGAUGCAAUUAUGGUAGAAGAAAAGGAGUGGGCAUCUGGCCAGAUGUUCUCAUUCUGGGUGGAUGAUGCAUCCUUUACUAAAAAGCAGGUUAGAGCACCCACCUACUAUUUUACUCUCUUGGCAGUUAAAUCCUAACUUUGAUGAACUCAUAAAUGACCCUGGGCAACCACAAUGCUGUUACAUUUUGCUUAAUCCUCAUUAUUUCUCAAGUUUUCAGUAAAGGUAUUUGAAGGUGGUCAAGGGGUUAGCGGGCUCCAAAUGGAGUGAAACAGAGCACUAGUAUCUAAUUAAAAAAAAAAAAAAGAAGCCAAAAUAAGCAGAUAUGCGAACUGAGACUGGAAAUUUGAGUGAUCACCCCCUACUAAUUUUAGCACCUGCUUUCACAAAGUUAUGUUGGGGACGAAAGUCUUCCCUCUCAGGGUUGUGAAAAUAAGUGAGGUAUUUAGUAUACAACCAUAGCCCGUUAUGAAGGUGAGGACUGACUACACUGGCUUUUCUUUCUUGGCAAUGCCUGUUUUAGGCAGGUUGACUUUCACUGGGCAGCAUCGAUCCACCCUGCGCUCCCUGCAGACACUCUCCCAUCAGUUUGCACAUGCCCUGAGUCUAGAAGCCACAUCAAAGAUAAUGUGUUUGCGCCCAGGACAGUGCUGCCCCCAAAUGGGCAUGUUCCUCAGGUCUAGAAGCAUAAACGGGGCUCCAGAAAGUCAGCGAACGGCAGCCUGGACCCUUUGAAGUCAGAAGGGCUUCCGACUAGGAGCGGACUGUUAGGAAGGAAUGAUCUUCCUAUAAAUGGUGUGGAUAAGAUGAGCACAGACUUGUUCACCAGAUCCUGAAAUACAGCAGCAGCUUGGAAGCACCAGAGAGGCAAGUUCAAGACAAGUCAGCGGAAAUACUACACUGCGUAGCAGGUAAUGAAUUUAAGGAAUGGAUUAUCUCCCAGAGGUGGUACAAGCUGGCAACGUAAAUGGAUUCCAG